GUGAGGAAUAUUGGACAAUGGAGGAAACUCUGAUCCAGCCAUGCCGCGUGAGUGAUGAAGGCCUUCGGGUUGUAAAGCUCUUUCGGGUGUGAAAAUGAUGAUGGUAACACCAGAAGAAGCCCCGGCUAACUCCGUGCCAGCAGCCGCGGUAAUACGGAGGGGGCGAGCGUUGUUCGGAAUCACUGGGCGUAAAGCGUGCGUAGGCGGUUAUACAAGUCAGGAGUGAAAUCCCAGGGCUCAACCUUGGAAUUGCUUUUGAGACUGUAUGACUAGAGAUCUAGAGAGGUUGGGGGAAUUCCGAGUGUAGAGGUGAAAUUCGCAGAUAUUCGGAGGAACACCAGUGGCGUAGGCGCCCAACUGGCUAGAUACUGACGCUGAGGCACGAAAGCGUGGGGAGCAACAGGAUUAGAAACCCUGGUAGUCC
This 424-nucleotide ribosomal RNA is filed under the name uncultured bacterium. RNAcentral describes it as "partial 16S ribosomal RNA". It matches the Rfam family "Bacterial small subunit ribosomal RNA", at positions 354 to 796 of the family's 1533-position model. The record is from RNAcentral.